UUUUUUUUUUUUUUUUUUUUAGGCGGGGGGACAAAAAGCUUGCCCUUCCUCAUCUGAAACAAAUAUCUUUUGCAAAUAUGCUCUUAAGACUGAAACCUUGACUGGCAGUGGCCUGCCUUCUUCUUCUGUUAGACAUUUGUGGCAGAGGGGAGGUGCUAAGAGUUAUGACAAGUAUUUUAUGCAGCUUGGGUAAUGCUGGAAGCCCUCCCACAUCAGCUCCAUUUAGUGUUCCACACGGCAUUUGCCAGCAGGAAAUAUUUGGGUGCAUAUUCCAAGCAUUGCCUAGCAAAAGGUAUCUGAAAUUACAAGGGCAUAGAGGGGCCACGGGUGCCAAGAGACACUGCCAGUAUAGGUAGCACGAGUGUCACCUGAGCAGAAGAGCUCUGGAGAUUUGGCCUUCCAUAACUGGGGAAGAGGUGCAGUGGCAUGGGCCCCCAAGGCUACUCCCACUUUUGGGGCUGGCCAGAGUGGAUGAUAAUUUUCUCUCUGGGACAGAUUCUGUAUUAAGCAGAAGCAAAAACACCUGUAACUGUAACUCCUUGGGGUUUCAGAAAAGUCAGUCUGCAGAGUGUGUGUCUGUCUUGUCUAAAUUAUCUUUGACUCAAGUAUUACUCUUGUAAUAAAGAUGGUCUUUGGGGUUUUUUUUUUCCCCAUUCUGCACUUUCUGCGCAUGGUAAGGAGAUCAUAAAUUUAGUUUUGUUCUGUUUUUAAGUGUACAAGAGAUGUUGAGCUUAUCUAACAGAAACAAGCCAGGUGUGUGCUACAGUGUGUAAAUGCCACCAGGAGCACUUUGUCCUUGUCCUAGACCAGAAAAAGGAAAAACAGUUUGGGUGCUGUAAUGCUACUGACUCCAGGUCACCUGGAGGUAUUUUGAAUUAUGAUGAAACUGUAAUUGCUCUGCCAUUUUUCUUCUCUCUCUCUGCUUCUUAUUUACUCCACAGUGGAGAGAAAAUGAGUCAGAGUAGGCUAGGGAUAGUUCUCCUGACACUUUGGAUGCUGCAUUUGCACCCUCACUUGUUCAGCAAAAAAGCCAGCUUGAGGAUCUCCCAAAUUGCAUUUCAUACCCUGUGUUGGCUCUGGCUAAGAUGGAGUCAGCUUUUUCCAGAGUGGCCCAUACGGUGCUGUUUGUGACUAGAACAGCGCUGGCAGCACACCAGUGUUUUAGCCAUCACUGAACUGUGGUUGCACAGCAUCAAGUUACUCACUCUGCCCUCUCCUCCAGCAAACAGGCUGGGAGUCACAAGAGGCUGAGAGGGGAAGCAGCCAGCACAGCUGACCCAGGUGAUAAAAGGGACAUGCUGGACUCAUAGCAUCACACUCAGCAAUAAAACCAGGCUGCGGGCAGGAGGUUUCUUCCAAAGAAGCUGUUGCUUGGAGACUGGCUAGGGAUGGGUCUCUUAGUGGGAUGUGGUGAAUGGUUGACUUCGCAUCACUUAUUUAUGUUCUUUUUAUUCACUGCAAGACUUUUGUGUCAACCCAUAGGUAUUCUCCCCAUGGCUUCACCCUGCUGAUUCUCUUCCUCAUCCUGCAGGAAGGAGUGAGUAACCAAGUGGCAGUGGGGGCUUCAUUGCUGCCUAGGAUCAACCCACCACUCUCCUUUCCCAGCUCACUCUCUGGUAUAAGCAGCUUCUUGUGGAACACAAUUGGUCCUGUAAUUAGUGAGCAUUUUGCCCCAGGGAGGACUGAAGUGCAUGAGAGAGGAAGAUGGUUGUGGGGAAUUGUAAUUUUUCUUCUUCCCCCCCCCCACCAUUCCCCCUCCCUGCGUGUUCCCCUUUGUCCUGGGACUCUGCAUUCCUACCCCUCACCCUCGCCACGCGGUCGGCUCCCUCCAACCCCUCCCAGCCUUUCCCAUCGCUGCCCCCAUCUCUGGGGUCUCUGGGGCUUCCCCACCCCUGUCCUAUCCUCAUUGGCCGCGGUUCCUGUUCUCCCCCCACUCCCCCAAUUCGGGGAUUAUAUCCGAUACCCCACGAGUGCCCCCGGUGUCUCGGGAACACGCACCCACAAUAAACACGUGUUUGCACCUGAGCCCCGUGUCGCCUCCGUCUGUCCCCAUGCUGAAGCUGAACUUGCAGAGCUUAAGGGGAGAGCGGCGCCCGCCUCUCCCCUCUCCUCCCGCGCUCCGCCAGCACCUGCUCGGGGCCGGUCCUGCACGGCAACAAAUGGUAGCAGAGGAAGGCUCUUUCCAUUGACUUGUGAAAGGGGGAGAGAGAAAGGGAAUUCUGCCGCCGUAAGAGCUCUGCCCCACGCUAAGAGGAGCUGAUUCGCCGGUCAGAAAACAAAACCGAAGCUCCGGGACCCUCUUCUGUCCUCGCCGGCAUGCUCUCUAACCCGCCUGGGAGCAGCCGCGCUGUGGGGGCAGUGCUGCGGGGGCCUUGACACAGGUAGACUUACCUCAGGACAGAAGAGGGGGGUUUGGCAGCGGCUCGCAGUGGAGCCCGAGCCCGAGAACGGCGCAUCAUGGGACCGCACAUGCAUAGAGACUACUAGAGGCUGACAGUGGCCGAAACCAGGGUUUCAGGAAUGAGCCCUGGUUAACGGGAACACCCAGGCUUCUAGAAGAGCCAAACCGUGAAAGAAAAUGUCCUCAGUUCCGCGCGAUUUUCCACCACCGAGGAGAGAGAGAGAUUUCACCACCCGAGCCCGAAGGGUAAGUGGUUCGGAGCAGGGUUGGGUCCCUGGUGUGCAGCUGAGCUACCUUUUUUUCUUUUCUGAGUUUUAACCACCGUCCGUGCCCAGAUGGGGACUGUAGCCUUGCAUGUCCCUGGCGGCCGGGAGGCUUUUUCUUUUCCGAGGAGGACGCAGCCUCGCUUGGUCUUUUUUGGGGUAACUCAUACUGGAAAGCUCCUUCUCUUUCUCGGAAAGCUGCCCUUUCUACCCUCUCCUCCCUAUUCUGGGCUAUGGGGGCGGGGGGGUUGAAAGGACACCAAUGGGACAGAAUUGUAGAUGGCGACACGUCAGCUAUGGGAGAGUUGUUAAUAUCUUAAGGGAGGCCCUUCACAUCCACGCAUUUCGUCGACUUCCAGCCGCGUUGGGCCCCUCUCCUGUAGAUCUCCCCUUUGGCUUCUGCGAAGCUCCCCAUUUCCUUUUCCCCAUGGACUUUCCCAAAACCUCUCCCUUGGGGAUGGCAGCAGCCGAGCCACCCCAAGCGCCCUGCCGGACACUGUUAUCCUCCCUUAGGAGUGGCAUUGGCCGUGCCUCCCUGGGUGAGGCACAGUGCACCCGGCACCCCCUCCCAAGAUGGCGCUGGCCACGCUACUUGGAACCCAUUUUCCCGCCGUAACCCUUCUCUUCUGCCCAAGUCUGUAAAGACGUUAGAGUGCUCCAGGACGGUUUGGGUGGAUACAGACGAGAGAUCUCUGCUGAUUGCUCUUGGAGGAUAAGGUUUAUUCGGGAUGGAGAGAGGUCCUGCCUCGAGCUGCUAGACACAGCACGUGGCCGGGCCUGAGGUGAUGGGGGAGGGGAGAGACAAAGGGAAGAGCAGGGACUCGAGGAGGGGGAAAUCCAGGAGGAGGGAGGAAGUUCCAAGAGGGGAGGGGAAAUUCCAAGAGGGCAUCUGGCCCCUCGGAGGCCCCUUAUCAGGGGGGCUUCAAGGUGGGCUGGAACAAGACUUGGGCCAAUGGGGUUACAGGCACUUGAUGUUUCAGGGGAGGGUUACAGGUGUGGGAUGAACCAUAGAUUCUGGGGGGUGAGAUGGAACAGUCCAUUUGGCCUUUGGACCCCGCUGUAGGUACGGUUAUUGUCCAGCCAGUAGGGGGCAUGAUAUUCAUCCUGGCUGUACUAUUGUGGUUCUUCUGCUAGACAACCAUAUUUAUCUAUCCUUCCCAACACCUGGCACCCCCUCCCAAGAUGGCACUGGCCACGCUACUUGGAACCCAUUUUCCCGCCGUGACCCUUCCCUUCCGUCCAGGUUUUCCCGCCAGCCCCACCCCUCCCACAACGGUCCUGCACCAUCCUGCAGCGAGGCCAGCCCCUACUGGGGGGGAGGUGAGGUUAGAUUAAUCCCCCAGUCCAUCUUCUGGCCCCUCCUCUGAUGGGAGGGAUUGAUGGAGGGGUCCCUCCGUUAGAGGACCUUCCUUUGUAAGAGAGCUUUCCCCUUUGGUGUGUGUGGGGGGGCCCUUCGAAGGGAGCAGAGCUGGAAACCCUGGACCAGGACUCCACUAUUUUCUUUCCCCUGAAACGGUGGCGCCCAGGUUCACCUCUCUAUGCCAUCUCCUAAAUGUACCUUGCCCAAAGUUCCCUUGUUAUUUCAAUACAAGUUUUCCCCAUUGCUUGUGAUAAUUUGGAAAUAACUUCCUGGACUGAGUUAUAUCUUAUAGAAGGAAAGAUCAUCCUCCCUAAUUGCUGCCCACAAUGCUAUGCCAACUUCGCAAUCAAAUAAGCAAAUUGGAGAAAUCAUGUCGCCGUUCGCUGUUUCAGCUCUGCUAGAAUUUGAAAACCACAAGCAUUGUGUCAUGAAUCCUGCUUCCAUCCUCAAUACAGAAUGUUUAUAAUAAUUUUGUACCCUUUAUCUUAAAUUGUAAUAUGAAAAAGAUUUUUGCCCCAUGCAUUGUAACUAUGAUUGGUGUAUCACUUUCUGAUGUCUCUCAACUUACGUUUCUCAGUAAUUUGUAACGUUGCUAAUUUGCUUUUACCUCAGAACUCCCUCUUCUUUAUGUAAAGCCAAAGAGGGAGAUGUGGGGAAUUGUAAUUUUUCUUCUUCCCCCCGCAUUCCUCUUUGUCCUUCAAUCCUACAUUCCUGCUCCUCCCCCUCGCCACUCGGUCAGCUCCCUCCAACCCCUCCCCACCUUUCCCAUCGCUGCCCCCAUCUCUGGGGUCUCUGGGCUUCCCCACCCCUGUCCUAUCCUCAUUGGCCGCGGUUCCUGUUUCCCCCCACUCCCCAGUUCGGGGAUUAUAUCCGAUACCCCUCGAGUGCCCCCGGUGUCUCGGGAACACACACCCACAAUAAACACGUGUU
Long non-coding RNA from Taeniopygia guttata (zebra finch), 4954 nucleotides. The record is from Ensembl. NCBI's taxonomy places the organism in Eukaryota, Metazoa, Chordata, Aves, Passeriformes, Estrildidae.